Molecule: ribosomal RNA, 628 nt
Filed under: uncultured bacterium
Lineage: Bacteria
Description: bacterial SSU rRNA
Rfam family: Bacterial small subunit ribosomal RNA
Source: RNAcentral
GUAACGGCUUACCAAGGCAACGAUGGGUAGGGGUCCUGAGAGGGAGAUCCCCCACACUGGUACUGAGACACGGACCAGACUCCUACGGGAGGCAGCAGUGAGGAAUAUUGGACAAUGGGCGCAAGCCUGAUCCAGCCAUGCCGCGUGCAGGAUGACGGUCCUAUGGAUUGUAAACUGCUUUUGCACAGGAAGAAACAACUCUACGUGUAGAGUCUUGACGGUACUGUGAGAAUAAGGAUCGGCUAACUCCGUGCCAGCAGCCGCGGUAAUACGGAGGAUCCAAGCGUUAUCCAGAAUCAUUGGGUUUAAAGGGUCCGUAGGCGGUUUAGUAAGUCAGUGGUGAAAGCCCAUCGCUCAACGGUGGAACGGCCAUUGAUACUGCUAAACUUGAAUUAUUAGGAAGUAACUAGAAUAUGUAGUGUAGCGGUGAAAUGCUUAGAGAUUACAUGGAAUACCAAUUGCGAAGGCAGGUUACUACUAAUGGAUUGACGCUGAUGGACGAAAGCGUGGGUAGCGAACAGGAUUAGAUACCCUGGUAGUCCACGCCGUAAACGAUGGAUACUAGCUGUUGGGAGCAAUCUCAGUGGCUAAGCGAAAGUGAUAAGUAUCCCACCUGGGGAGUACGUUC